This 253-nucleotide ribosomal RNA is filed under the name uncultured bacterium. Its description in RNAcentral is "partial 16S ribosomal RNA". It matches the Rfam family "Bacterial small subunit ribosomal RNA", at positions 524 to 776 of the family's 1533-position model. The record is from RNAcentral.
UACGUAGGGUGCGAGCGUUAAUCGGAAUUACUGGGCGUAAGGCGUGCGCAGGCGGUUCGUUAAGUCAGAUGUGAAAGCCCCGGGCUCAACCUGGGAACUGCAUUUGAAACUGGCGGGCUUGAGUGUGGCAGAGGGGGGUGGAAUUCCGCGUGUAGCAGUGAAAUGCGUAGAGAUGCGGAGGAACACCGAUGGCGAAGGCAGCCCCCUGGGCCAACACUGACGCUCAGGCACGAAAGCGUGGGGAGCAAACAGG